Non-coding RNA from Acanthosepion pharaonis, 96 nucleotides. The record is from the annotation of a GenBank genome assembly. NCBI's taxonomy places the organism in Eukaryota, Metazoa, Mollusca, Cephalopoda, Sepiida, Sepiidae.
GUUAAAGCACCGGUUCCCGUACGAUCACCAAGGCUAAACAAAACUAGGCCUGUUCAGCACUUAGAUGCGUUACCACUUGGAAAUAACAGGUGCUAU